Long non-coding RNA from Zalophus californianus (California sea lion), 1749 nucleotides. RefSeq lists it as uncharacterized. Lineage: Eukaryota; Metazoa; Chordata; Mammalia; Carnivora; Otariidae. The transcript has 3 exons. The record is from RefSeq and is a predicted model, not a curated record.
GGGGCGCGCAGGCGCUCAGUUGGGUUGGGGCGAGGGCGGAGGUGGUAAAGGGGUGAAGGCGGAGGAGGGAGUGUGUGCGAACAGGCAACACAUGCCUGGCGCGGUGCCUUGCAGCUGGUGGCGGGUGGGGCCGCCGGGCGGGCCGCCGCCUUCUCCUGUCGACGGAGGCUGCUGACGGGAAAACGAUCCGGGUGGGGAGCGCCCCGGCCCAGGCACUUUUCCGCUGAAAGUCUGCGGGAGCCUAGGGCUGGGUAACCCAGGUAGAGACUCUGGGUCGUGUUACAAACGGACGUUGAGGAUCGCAAAGAUCAGCCUUCUAGCCCUCUCUCUGCCUAUUACGGGCUCUGUGACCAAUGGCAAAUCACUUUACCCGCGCCUCAGUUUCCCCACUCUUCUAGAGGGCUUGCGACCUGAGAGUGGCCAAGAAGAAAAGAAAGUUCACGUCACAAGCACUACCUGCCUAUCUUGCUGAAGGCCUCCAACUGCUGGACACGAAGGAAAACAAACGGCAACUAUUUUACUGCAGACAGCAAGUCAGAGCCCCCCAGUCCCAGGAAAGCCCAGGAGGCCGGAGCCUCAGUGGAGCCCACCCCCGACUUUCCCUCGGCGUGCCCUGGUGCUCGUUGCUCAGGACAGUCUGCUUGGCAGCCGCUUAUCUAGAAAAAUGAAUGAACAUCGUAUUAAACACUCCCUGAUCACUCGCUAAUCAGGUUCAACUGAAGAGGCUGUUCUAAGAAAGAUGACUGAGGUAAUCAAUCACCUUCCUCAGAGAAAGUCCGCUCAGGUAGAAUUUUGUUUACCAUGUAAACAAUGGAACAUUUAUUGCCGAAUCCCUUGUUCCUUCAUAGCCAGGGUAGAGAAUUUAGAUUUCUUCGUGGGGGGGGGGGGGCAUGAGGGUAAAAGAAAUGGUCAUGAGAGAGAAGCUGGGUCCUGGAGAAAGAGACCUGUGGCUUCUUGAUCCUUCAUAGCCCCCUGUGAGGAGAAUCAAAAAGGUAAAGACUGUCCCUUCAGCUCAGAUGGGGAGUGUGUUUCUCCUUAUUUUACAAAGCGGGAUGACAAACCAGGUUUUCCCAGAAAGCCUGGGGACACGCAGGGGAUAGGAGUGACUAGAGAAGGGAGGGGGGCAGGGGAGGACUGAAGAUCAUCCUUAACUUUCCAAAAGCAGGAAUAUAGGACACUUAAUAAACUUUAAAUUACUUGCCUCUUUUAUGGACAGGGGUGAUUAUUUUUACUAAAGAGGACUAAAAUAAUUCAUUUUUAGAGCUCACUUUUGUAAGAUCACAGCAAAAAACAAAACCCAGAAUCUGUUGCUUUGGGUGAAAAACAGUGAUAAUGAUCUCUAACUAUGCUCAGUGAUUCUAAAAUUGCUAUUUAUAGGAAAUAUUAUACAUUAAAAACAACUACACUAAAAAAUGGAUCCCAGCUGUGGACACGGUCAAGAGAUCAGGGGUUGGGGAGAGGGAGGGAUGAAGAGGUGGAGCACAGAGAAUUUUUAGAGCAGUUAAACUAUUCUGUUUGCUGCUGUAAUGGUGGAUACAUGUCAUUAUAUAUUUGUUAAAACCCACAGAAGGUACACCACCAAGAGUGAACCCCAAUGUAAACUCUGAUCUGUAGUUAAUAGUAAUGUGUCAUAUUGGUUCAUCAAUUGAAACAAAUACACCACAGUAAUAAAAAAUGUUAAUAAUAGGGGAAACUGUGUGUGUGGCGGGGUGAGGUAGGGAGGGAACAGUAUAUGGGAACUCUGUGCUU